UCUAGAAAUUAGCCUGAGCUGUUUGCUUACAUCUGUAUGUCACUGACCUUCCCGGGCCCCAACACUUAGAGCGUUGUUCUCUAAGUGUGCGUCUGAGGAGUGCUACUUCUCACGUGGCAGAGAGAAACCAACAGGACUUUGGUGGUGAAAGUAAAAGGGAGCGGUGAAGGUAGAGCUUCAAGAAGAUGUGCAGGUGGGAAAUUUGUGUGAGGCUAGGGAAGCGUGGAGGUCGAGGAGGCGGCAAUGGCAACACUGAGGAUGAGACACGAUCAGCAAUAGUUUGCAGGUGAACGGAUGCUUUUGUAAGAGAAGAAAAUAGUAACUGUGUAACUAAGAGUGUGACAAAUGUGUUUUAUAGGCCAGGUUUCAUGGGAUAGAUCACAUUUCAUUUCCUAUUGCCGUGGAAGAAUACUUGAGAAUGGAUAAUUUACAAAGAGUGAGCAUCAUCUGUGCUGGGUAGGCAUGGUAGCCACCUGUAAUUCCAGUCUCAGAAGGUGGAGACAAGGUAUACCCAGAGCAUGCUAGCACGAAAAACACAUGUAUGCACAUACUCACUACAUGUGCAACUGCACACAGGAAAAGCAUGCAUACACACACACACACACACACACACUUGAAAAUGGAACAAAAAAGUAGUGAGGUUUAUUUUGGUUCAUGGUUCUUGGAUCAUGGUGCCGACAUCUUGGCUCCCAAUGAGAAUCUUAUGUUGCUUCAACUCAUGGCAGGAAGUUCAAAGGGAGCAGGCAUGUAAAAUCACACAACCCAAGAUGGAAAUGAAGAAAAAUUCAUUCUCAAGAGAAGGACAUUAAUCCUUUUAACCACCCAAUCACUUCUUAAAGUGCCAUUUCCCAAUACCAUUACAAAAGCAGUCACAUUUCCACAUAAGUUUUAAAACAGAUGAUCCCUAUUCAAAUCCUGGCAAUCUCAGGUUGGAGGUUUUGCAUUUGAAAAUGAAUAAUACACAACAGGUAGGUAUACUGCAUUCAAGCCAGGUAGGUGAAAUAAUAUAUUUUCCUAUUGGUAAAAAUCUUACCAAUUUCUAUAUCUACAUGUUCAUACCUUGGUAGCAAUUAAGCAUUUUCUCACACUCGGAUUUUAUGCUUUGCCCUCCUGAAGGAUUUUCUCUUUUCUUGUUUGCUGAAGGUAGAACCUCAGGGAUACAGGCUGAACUCUAUCACUGAGCAAAUCUCUAGCCCUCAUCUAGGUCCUUUCUAUAGCCUGUCCCCUUGGAUGAGUAAAUUGAGGUGCAAUUUUAUGGUAGAGAGACAUAUGUUUUUAGAAAAUGCUUCUGUAGAACAGGUGCAAUGAUUCACAGUCAGACAUCGCACAGAAAGGGAGAGACCUUGGAGCACACAGCUCUAAAUGGGAUGUCUUUAUCAAAUCUCUCCCCUCAGAGUUCAUGGAAGCCACUGAAGGAAGCGAAAGAGUAUAAGAGCUAGAGGGGAUGGAGGACACCAAGAAAAUAAGGCGCUCUGAAUCAACAGAGUAAAGGUCAUGUGAACUCAACCGAGACGGAAGCAGCAUGCACAGGGCUGACAUGGAUCGGCUCCAGCCUAGAACACUGACGGUCUCCUCUUGACUGCUGAAGAAGUUCCAGCCCAGCGCUGCACCCACGGACCUAAAUCCACUUGGCAGCCCCCGUCUGGCACCUGCUGCUGCUGAUCACCUGCUGAUUUCGCCGGAGGAUCCCAUCCACCUACCAGGAUCCGGCCUCUAGUGGGAAGAGAUGUCUGUUAUUGGACUGGUCACAGCAGGGACUUUAGUCAGCUGCCUGUUCCAGCUCCUGAAAGCUGUCUUGACAGAGGCAGGCACCCGCAGUUUUCCUGACAGAUAGCUCUGACUGACCAUUGAAGGAGCAGCUAAGCAGGUCUGGAGCAGCCAGGCCAGGAAGAAGGGUCGUGGAAGUAGAUAGAUGAUGAGAUAAAGUGGAGAACAGAUAAAAUGCUACAGGAGCCAAAGGAAAGAACCUGUAGACCCCUCUAGAGAGUGGUUACAGCUCUCAGCCUGGUCUCUGAGACCCUUAGCCCCGAAAGCUGUAGUAUUGGGCACUGAGAAGGGCCCGGGUCCUGAUACCAGAGGCCACAUGAAGACUAUAACUCUCCUGGAUGCCAAGGCCCUUUGCUUUUAACUAACUAUUCCUGCCACUCACACUACCAAACACUGAGGAGGGACAGAAGCUGCCAGAGAUAAGCAAUUGAGGGGUUCCUUGUCUAUCUGUGAUUUUUGCUCAGGCAGAACCGGCAGUCAGCUCAUUAGUGAUGCUUGUGUUACCGUUUCCAAUCAGUUUCUACUAACCCAAUGGCCAACAGUCAACUCACCAAACCCAGUCUUGGGGCGGCAGAAGCUGAAAGGCUGUGGAUAUCAGGAGGCAUCAGCAAAGCCCACUGCCAACCACAGUGUUUGAGGGAUAGCUGAAGCCCCAGUUCCUUCAGGGGCAGAGAUGAAUUAUAACCAGUGAUAAGAUAAGCUAACCACACUCAGAAAAAUCACCCACACAAUUACUGUGGCACUAAAGAACAGAUUUGGGUGUAGCUGAAAGAAGAUACUCCACAUCCCAAUAAAAAAUGAAUUUAAUUCAGUGUAUGUGGUAAGAGAUGAAAAUUUAUGCAAAUUUUCCAAGACUUAAUUUUAAUAAAAGGAGAUAGUUUGUUUAGGUCUUUUGGGGUGUUAGAAAGAAAGAGGAAGAUAAGUAUAUUAGCAAGGAGCAUGUACUCAGUAUGUACUCAGAGGAAAGCAGGACAGGCCACAGAGGGGGGCAGGGAGGGCCUCAGGACAGAAAAGGGAACAGAAGCCACAUACACACACGCAUGCACACACAUAUGCACAACACACAUAUACAUACGCUCGAAUACACUCUCGCACACAGUGUAGAUGUUUAAAUGCUGCACAGUUCCCUUUUUAGAAGGCAUAUGAUUUGCAGGCUUUGUUUUUGUUUGUUUUUUAAAAUGAGUUUGUAUCUUCUAAACUGAUAAAGAAAAAGGAAAAAAGUAUUAAAAGGAUUUUGGAAAAAUGAAGAGAAGAGAAUCUGUUAAAGAAAAAGGAAAGAAAAAGUAUUAAAAAGAUUUUGGAAAAAUUAAGAGAAUCUUUUUUCCCCCAGAGAAGAGUGGUGUUAGAUUUCAUUUCUCCUCACAAUAUGUUGUUUCAAAUAUACACGUACAUACAGCAUAUAUGCCCCAUUGUGGGGGGCGGGGGCGGGUCGCGGAGCUGUGCCUCGAGGCAGAGGUAGUGGUCUCUUGAGGAGAAAGGGAGAAGCCUCCAGAAGGUCAGGUGAUCUGUAUUGCUACUUGAGUAGCUGUGGGCCUGUGGCAGCAUCACUGGGACCUCAGACCUAAUGAAUCCAGCUCUGGAGUUGGCUCCUGGAGAUCCUGUUUUUGAAACCUUCUAGCUGACUCUGUUGCUUUUGAAGUCCCAGGACACAGAGUUAGGGAAUGCAUGGACAAUACAGGAAAAAUGGGGUCAGGUCAAAGGGGAAGAAGAGAUUUUUUUUUUUCUACACCAGGGGCUCAUGUAUCCACCAGUUAUUAACCAUUUUCUAUCUCAUGAUUAUGCGGGACCAGUGGGCCUCAGUAUUUUCAUCACAAAGCUGUUUGGCUCUUCCCACUCUCCUGUCUAGAGCAGGAUGUCUCAGCAUGGCACCGCAGGCAGCAUGUGCUGGAUAAUUUGUCAUGGGAGGUGAUCCUGUUGGCAGUAGAGCUUUAGCGGCCUCACAGGCCUCUACCCACUCAAUGCUGUUAGCAUUCUCUCAUUAGCAACAACCAAAUAUUAUGUAGGCACAGUCAAAUGUCCCCUAGGAGGCAAAAAUCAUCCCAGUUGAAAACCACCAGUUGAAAAACAGAUCAAAACCCAAGCAAGGCAUACUUAUUAAGUAAUAGUAUAUUUCCCUGUUUUAUUAAUGCAAACACAUGUAACUGUCAAUCAGAACACGGGAAGGUAGGGUUUCGAGGCUCCACAGUCCAUCACACAUGCCUGGUCUCUAAUAUGUUGACCAUGAGUGGUGUUAGGCGUUCUUUAAAUUUUUUUUUCUGGUUUUGUCAUAAGGAAACAUGGACAAACUAUUUGUUAUUCAAGUAUUAAAUAUAAUGUUGUAUAGAAAGUACUCAGCAAUUUGGUGAAGAGUGUUCAAUAAAAUAUACUCCUGCAAUCAA
This is a long non-coding RNA of Peromyscus californicus insignis, 4145 nucleotides long. RefSeq lists it as uncharacterized. Lineage: Eukaryota; Metazoa; Chordata; Mammalia; Rodentia; Cricetidae. The transcript has 2 exons. The record is from RefSeq and is a predicted model, not a curated record.